CGGAGCUAGAUGCCCGCCGUGACCUACCGGUACCAGGCCCUCAAGGAAUCCCUCGCCGCCGCCAUCACCUCCUCCUCUUCCCCCCACGCCGCCGCCGACCCCCGCCGCCCCCACGCGCUCGCCGUCGUCUCCGGCCUCGCCGCCAAUGGCUACCUCGCCUCCCUCCUCGUCGCCCGCUACGCCCGCCUCGGCGACCCCGAUGCCGCGCGCGGCGUCUUCGCCGCCGCCGCCGCGCCCUCCUCCACAUCCCCCGCCGUGCCACCGCCCAAGCCGCUCCUCUACAACGCCAUGCUGCGGGCCUACCUCGCCCUGGGCCUCCCGCGCGAGGCGGCCUCGCUAUUCCGCGCCAUGCCCCCCGGCUGCCCGCGCGACCGCCACACGUACCACCUCGCCUCCACGGCCUGCGCGCGCGCCCCGGACCCCGAGCUCGGGCGCCGCGUCGGGGCAGCCGCCGCGGCCGCCGGGCUCGCGUCCGACCUCCUGGUGGCCACGGCGCUGGUCGGGAUGCACGCCGAGGCCGGGGACAUGGGCGCCGCGCGGAGGGUGUUUGACGGAGUGCCGCGCCCGGACGCCGUGGCGUGGAACGCGCUGAUCGGCGGGUACGCGCGCGCGGGGCUUCUGGGAGAGGCCGUGGAGAUGUUCGCCAGGAUGAGGUCCGCGGAUGGAGCGCGGCCAACGGAGGCAACACUCGUGAGCUUGAUCUCUGGUUAUGCCAGUUUCGGUCCUUGGAGGGGCAGAGGCAUGAUGCAUGGCGUUGUGGUUAAGUCUGGCUUCCACUGCAGCCUUUUCGUCUCCAAUGCUCUCCUGGAGAUGUAUGUGGAGUUGGGCUCUUUGAGCGAGGUGGUGACGGUGUUUCGGCAUAUGGAAGCGAAGGAUUCUGUUACUUGGAGCUCGAUGAUUGGUGGGCUUGUUCGGAAUGGAAAACCGGGUUAUGCUGUUAAGCUUUUCCACUGGAUGGUUUUGCAUUCAAAGGUGUUGGUCACACGGUCUAUCUUGCUUAACGUGAUUAUGGCCUGCGCCGAGUUGGGGAACUGGAGAGAAGGAAAAUGGAUUGAAGAAAACUACGUAUUGUGCAAUAGCAGUGAAUUCAAGAGAGAUCCCUCUUUAUUGACCGCAUUGAUAUAUAUGUAUGCGAAGUGCGGGCAGUUAGGUUGGUCUGAGAGUCUUCUUCAUGGUUCUGCCAAGGUUAGAAACGACGUGGUUGCGUGGAAUGCCCUGAUCAAAGGCUGUGGAGAACUUGGACAAACGGAAAAGGCAAUAUGGUUUGCAAUAGAAAUGCAGAGGAUGGGCAUUGAUCCGGAUGCUGUUACAUUCUUGGAGAUCCUACCAAUGAUCUCGCUAAUACCGUCACUGAAGAAGGGAAUGGAAGCACAUGCUCAGAUUGUCAAAAGGGGUUUCCAUAAUGAACGGAUGAUUGCUAAUUCACUUGUUUCCAUGUAUGGUCGGUGCGGGAGUCUUAGUCUUUCAAUUGGUGCCUUUACUGGGAUUAUGGACAAGGAUGCAAUCUCUUGGACUUCUAUGAUGCAGGUAUAUGCAUGGAAUGGACUUGCUGCAGAAGUUGUCAAGCUUUUUGAGUUGAUGAAGGAAACAGAAGUACAACCAAAUCACUAUACUUUUGUUGCCGUCCUGUCUGCCUGUAAAAACACGGGUCUUGUUGAGAAGGGAAUGGGCUUUCUUAAGUGCAUGAAAGAGCAGUAUGGUCUAGAUCCUCAUAUUGAGCAUAUAUCCUGUGUUGUUGAUAUGCUUUGUCGUACUGGGCGCUUGACUGAUGCAUACCACUUGAUCCAGAAUUCUCAUUCUGAACACGCAAAAAACCCUAUACUGUGGGGGACAUUGUUAAGUGGUUCCCGUUCAUGGGGGAAUUUGGUGAUUGGAGAAGCAGCAGCAAGGCAUCUUUUGUCCUUGGAUCCAAAAAACAGAGCUAACUAUAAGAUGCUGGCUGAUAUUUAUGUUUCACUUGGGAGAAGGGACAAUGCUGAUGAUGUCUUGAGACUGUUGAUCUCAAGAGAACUGGAUUUGAGACCAGGCUGUACCUGGACUGAAGGUGGCUAAAGACUGUGAUAUAUGCUAGAAGAUGUCUCGGUGCAGGCUUACAUUUUGUACGGAAGCAGGGCUGCUUCAGUGCUGGAUCAUCUUCAGGAGGUUGCUGUCCAAAGAUCAUCUCACAGCUCAUGUCCUCAAAAUCUGAAACAAUGAUUUGUCUCUCAGAUUAUCAUCUGAUGGAUAAGAAUAAAUGGAACUUACUGGGAGACAUGUAGACAGCCGUGCCGAGUGAAUCUUGGAUGAAUUUCUGGCAUGGGAUCUUGCAAAGAUUCGUGCACAUCCCAACACAGUUGGUGCUUUCCAGAAAUCUGUCAGAGUAAGAUAAGGAAGAAAAGGCUAUUCCUUUGUCAUUCCUGAAAUAAAUUAUAAUAUGGAGGAGAAAUAUGUGUUAUACCUCACAUGGUCCAACGAGCCAAGGGAAGAAUAUGGUGGUGAAGGCUGCGAAGUACUCCCGGGAAAUUCUUGAAGGCGGCAUCAUCACCUUGAUCUGCCCAACAGAAUGAACGCUGUGAGUCCAAACUAAGGGGCGGGCCCAGGAUUUGGGGUUUGGGUAUUCAACAUUUUUUAAGGAUGAAAUGUUUUUGACCGCCGCUGCCCGCUGCGCUACGUUGUCCCCAGCAACGCAUGUUGCUUAGGUCUCAUCGGCCAGAAGUGGAAAGGAUGCGGCCACAAGGGAAAGGGGAAGUGGAAUUGGUAUGGAUUGGUGCCGGUUGGGGGUUGCUAUUGGGCCUAGAAGAGGUGAAGUGAGCCAUUUGAGCACAAGAGGCAAUAUGAGAUCGGGAAGCCUGUAUUGUGACGUUAGAUCAUCUCCAAGAGACACCCUAAAUCAUCUCUCUCCACACCCUAUCCAAAUACUUGCUAUUUUAGAACCGGAUCUUAGACCCUCAACCUUCAAAUUUAUGGGUCAUAUUUACCUAAUAUGUCAAGGUUCAAACAAUAAAAUAUCCGGUACAAGGGAAGUACCAUGGCGACACAAGAAUACAAAGAGAAAUAAUAUUUUGGAUGAUCCUCUACUUAAAGGAUAUAGAGAGUUGGAGACUAGAAUUUAAGAAUUCUUUUAGAGAUACCCUUAUUUUCUAUUUUAAUACAUAUACAUGUUAUAUAUACUAUGUAUAUAAAUUUUGUUGCAAAAUUUUUUGGGUAUUCAGUUGAAUACCCUUGAAUCAAUACCAGGCCCGCCCCUGUGUGUUUGGGUCUAUGUAUGACUCAUUUUUCUUCUUCUAUCAAUACAAUGAUACGCAACUCUCCUGCGUGUUCGAGAAAAAAAAAUAGACAUUACUUUUCCAGAGCAUAAAAAUACUUGCCAUUGUGAGGAUGUAGCUGGGGAACGCCCAUUCCAGAGCGGUGGCCACAGUCUGCCACUGCUGAUCAACCCUGAACAGCCCGGAGAUGGUGAGGGCCGCCUCUAUCAGGCCUUCAUAGCCGUCCUUUCCGUUCUUCAGCCCUGCAUAUACACAUCCAUUGAAUCCACGCUGUGCUGGGAGAGAGGAUGAGAAAACUGGGAGGGCCAGCAUGGGGUUUGGUCUGGUAGGGGCGGAGGGCACUGCGGAGAACAGUGGAGGACACCGUGGCGGCCACUGUGCUGAUGACCGGACACCCAGUGCCACGACUCGGUGUCCGGUCCUGUUGCAGUCGAUCUAGGUCGGCCGUUUCAGAUCCGAUGGUUGAGGUUUAUGAUAAGGCGCGGAUUUACAGGGAUCUACUACAGCCUUAAUUUACUCUCUAAUGACUAGAGAAUCUUCUUCCAGCUAUUGUAGUAACUGAGUGGAAUGUAAAGGAUGCUUGAUUUUUAUAAACAGGUAGAUAUUACAAGAGGGUAAGUGGUUGAUUUUU
RNA transcript from Panicum virgatum (switchgrass), 3876 nucleotides. It is a transcript of the gene named putative pentatricopeptide repeat-containing protein At3g01580, with no coding region annotated. The transcript is spliced from 6 exons. Lineage: Eukaryota; Viridiplantae; Streptophyta; Magnoliopsida; Poales; Poaceae. The record is from RefSeq and is a predicted model, not a curated record.